AUUGAACGCUGGCGGCAUGCCUUACACAUGCAAGUCGAACGUGAAAGCGGGGCAACCCGCAAGUAGAGUGGCGGACGGGUGAGUAAUACAUCGGAACGUGUCCAGUAAUGGGGGAUAACCUAGCGAAAGUUAGGCUAAUACCGCAUACGAUCUGCGGAUGAAAGCGGGGGAUGCGGCACUAAAGGCUUUUGGCGAAGGUGGCCAAAGGUGAGUCAAGGGUCUUUUAGUGCNGCACCUCGCGUUAUUGGAGCGGCUGAUGUCUGAUUAGCUAGUUGGUGAGGUAAAGGCUUACCAAGGCGACGAUCAGUAGCUGGUCUGAGAGGACGGCCAGCCACACUGGGACUGAGACACGGCCCAGACUCCUAC
Molecule: ribosomal RNA, 366 nt
Filed under: uncultured bacterium
Lineage: Bacteria
Description: bacterial SSU rRNA
Rfam family: Bacterial small subunit ribosomal RNA
Source: RNAcentral